Non-coding RNA from Camelina sativa (false flax), 314 nucleotides. The record is from RefSeq and is a predicted model, not a curated record. NCBI's taxonomy places the organism in Eukaryota, Viridiplantae, Streptophyta, Magnoliopsida, Brassicales, Brassicaceae.
CUACGAUGCCUCUGUUCGUACAAGGCUUUUCUCCGCAGAUAUGGGAUGGAACCAUCUAAUAUCAGGCCUCUUCUUGCCAAGUGUGGUAUAAGUCCUCCCUCCUGUUUGUAAGCUUGAAAAAGUGAGCUGAAGACAGACUUUGUCUUGCCCUGAAGUCUGUCAAGUAAUAAUAUGUAUUUUUGUGUUGUGCUGCUCUGAUUCGAAUAAAUUAUAUACUUUGCAAUGAUUUUUCAAUCACCCUUGUCUAUUACUUAGAUGAACAAUGUCCUAUACAUAUUAAUUAUGAGAAGAAUAAAGUAAUGUUUUUCUUUCUA